RNAcentral lists this ribosomal RNA (519 nucleotides) under Scheffersomyces shehatae. RNAcentral describes it as "eukaryotic LSU rRNA". It matches the Rfam family "Eukaryotic large subunit ribosomal RNA", at positions 111 to 648 of the family's 3401-position model. The record is from RNAcentral. Lineage: Eukaryota; Fungi; Ascomycota; Pichiomycetes; Serinales; Debaryomycetaceae.
AAAUUUGAAAUCUGGCACCUUCGGUGUCCGAGUUGUAAUUUGAAGAAGGUAACUUUGGAGUUGGCUCUUGUCUAUGUUCCUUGGAACAGGACGUCACAGAGGGUGAGAAUCCCGUGCGAUGAGAUGUCCAACUCUAUGUAAAGUGCUUUCGAAGAGUCGAGUUGUUUGGGAAUGCAGCUCUAAGUGGGUGGUAAAUUCCAUCUAAAGCUAAAUAUUGGCGAGAGACCGAUAGCGAACAAGUACAGUGAUGGAAAGAUGAAAAGAACUUUGAAAAGAGAGUGAAAAAGUACGUGAAAUUGUUGAAAGGGAAGGGUUUGAGAUCAGACUUGGUAUUUUGUAUGUCUUGCUUUCGGGUGGGGCCUCUGCAGUUUACUGGGCCAGCAUCGGUUUGGACGGUAGGAUAAUGACAUUGGAAUGUGGCACUACUUCGGUGGUGUGUUAUAGACUUUGUUGAUACUGCCUGUCUAGACCGAGGACUGCGUCUUUGACUAGGAUGCUGGCAUAAUGAUCCUAAACCGC